This 876-nucleotide ribosomal RNA is filed under the name uncultured beta proteobacterium. RNAcentral's name for it is "bacterial SSU rRNA". It matches the Rfam family "Bacterial small subunit ribosomal RNA", at positions 110 to 982 of the family's 1533-position model. The record is from RNAcentral. Lineage: Bacteria; Pseudomonadati; Pseudomonadota; Betaproteobacteria.
GUAAUAUAUCGGAACGUAUCCAAUAAUGGGGGAUAACUAAUCGAAAGGUUGGCUAAUACCGCAUACGCCCUACGGGGGAAAGCAGGGGAUCUUCGGACCUUGCGUUAAUGGAGCGGCUGAUAUCUGAUUAGCUAGUAGGUGAGGUAAAGGCUCACCUAGGCUUCGAUCAGUAGCUGGUCUGAGAGGACGACCAGCCACACUGGAACUGAGACACGGUCCAGACUCCUACGGGAGGCAGCAGUGGGGAAUUUUGGACAAUGGGCGCAAGCCUGAUCCAGCCAUUCCGCGUGAGUGAAGAAGGCCUUCGGGUUGUAAAGCUCUUUCGCAAGGGAAGAAACGUGACGAGCGAAUAACUCGUCAUAAUGACGGUACCUUGAUAAGAAGCACCGGCUAACUACGUGCCAGCAGCCGCGGUAAUACGUAGGGUGCGAGCGUUAAUCGGAAUUACUGGGCGUAAAGCGUGCGCAGGCGGUUUUGUAAGUCAGAUGUGAAAUCCCCGAGCUCAACUUGGGAACUGCGUUUGAAACUACAAGGCUAGAGUAUGGUAGAGGGGGGUAGAAUUCCACGUGUAGCAGUGAAAUGCGUAGAGAUGUGGAGGAAUACCAAUGGCGAAGGCAGCCCCCUGGACUAAUACUGACGCUCAUGCACGAAAGCGUGGGGAGCAAACAGGAUUAGAUACCCUGGUAGUCCACGCCCUAAACGAUGUCUACUAGUUGUUGGGAGAGUAAAAUCUCUUAGUAACGCAGCUAACGCGUGAAGUAACCGCCUGGGGAGUACGGUCGCAAGAUUAAAACUCAAAGGAAUUGACGGGGGCCCGCACAAGCGGUGGAUUAUGUGGAUUAAUUCGAUGCAACGCGAAAAACCUUUCCCUGGCCU